CCUACGGGGGGCAGCAGUGGGGAAUAUUGGGCAAUGGGCGCAAGCCUGACCCAGCAACGCCGCGUGAAGGAAGAAGGCUUUCGGGUUGUAAACUUCUUUUCUGAGGGACGAAGAAAGUGACGGUACCUCAGGAAUAAGCCACGGCUAACUACGUGCCAGCAGCCGCGGUAAUACGUAGGUGGCAAGCGUUAUCCGGAUUUAUUGGGUGUAAAGGGCGUGUAGGCGGGAAAGCAAGUCAGAUGUGAAAACUCAGGGCUCAACCCUGAGCCUGCAUUUGAAACUGUUUUUCUUGAGUGCUGGAGAGGCAAUCGGAAUUCCGUGUGUAGCGGUGAAAUGCGUAGAUAUACGGAGGAACACCAGUGGCGAAGGCGGAUUGCUGGACAGUAACUGACGCUGAUGCUCGAAAGCGCGGGUAUCGAACAGGAUUAGAUACCCGGGUAGUC
Molecule: ribosomal RNA, 443 nt
Filed under: uncultured bacterium
Lineage: Bacteria
Description: partial 16S ribosomal RNA
Rfam family: Bacterial small subunit ribosomal RNA
Source: RNAcentral